UGAAGCCCUGAUUAUGUGUUUACAGAAAAGAAAAAGAAGAAAAGAAGAGCCAGGAGGAUAGGUUGUUCAGUUUACUACCGGAGACCUGACUGUGACAGACCACCAAGAAAACAAAAUUUUCAAAGAGAGUAGAGAAGACCUUCUGCAGCACCUGCAAGUCUGUCCUUUUUUCUUCAGAGUUACGUAGGAUAACUUAGCCAGAACUUAUUGAUGUCUGCAUGUUCAGUGGACUCGGGAAUGGACUGGGAGAUGCGGAAACGUACUCUUUGGAAGGAACAGGAGAGGAGGCAUUUCAAAGAUCCUGCAGGUGACAAAGGUGAUGAUCUGCUGACAGAAUAAAUAAAUCAUAGAAAGUGCCAAGACUACACAGGCAUUUGCUGUGGUAUCACCCACAUGAGGAACUUUCAUCAUAGUCUUUCUUCAAGUAUGUUCUCUCCUGUGGGUUCAUUAUUUUUCAGAGGAUGGGUCUUUCUGCCCUGCAGGGAUCUAUCUAUCACUGCUGACUCUCUGCAUCUUCUCCACAUGGAAGAAGUAAUUGGAUUGUAUUUUCUGCACACGACCAAGACAGCAGGGAAACCCACAGCUGUAAGCCAGAGAACUAAGCUGUCUCGAGAAGGCUGGGCUUGGGCCUGGGCUUUACCAGCAUGCCUAAUAAUGUCAUCAGGACUAAGGACAUGAGGAGGAUGAGGUGUCCUGUACCCAGCAGUGACACAUGCCAGUACAAACCAAAAUUGACUGGACCUCAGACAAAGGAGAAGAAGGGAAGUUGUUGAGGUCCCCACACAGAUGUCCGAUUACAAUUCCACCAAGGUGCAUUUGAAACUGUGUCACAGCUCAGCCUCUUCUCCCCAGUGCCCGUGGAGGCAGCUUCCAGCAUGACACAUCACAUCUUUGACUCACCAGGUAAGGCUGGGAUAUCAGUAUAAAAAUUGGGCAAAUAUUGACUUCUUUUGGCACACAGAAACUUUGUUGUACCUAUGAGGCAAUAUAUUUAUGGAAUGUUCAGCUUACACAUGAUUAUGGGCUGGAAUGAGUAGUUUUUUGAAGGAUGAUGCUGAAGAAAGUGAUGUCAGAUACUGUCAGUGCUGGGGUUUAGAAAACUGACUGCUAAUCUAGUGUUUUCCAAUAAGUCACCCUGAUUUAGAGAACAGAAUAAAAGUUGUCUCCAAAAGUAAGUGAAAUGAACU
This 1187-nucleotide long non-coding RNA is filed under the name Serinus canaria (Common canary). RNAcentral's name for it is "lncRNA (ENSSCAG00000005762.1)". The record is from RNAcentral. Lineage: Eukaryota; Metazoa; Chordata; Aves; Passeriformes; Fringillidae.